Oncorhynchus mykiss (rainbow trout) is the source of this 5433-nucleotide RNA transcript. It is a transcript of the gene named regulation of nuclear pre-mRNA domain containing 2a, with no coding region annotated. The record is from RefSeq and is a predicted model, not a curated record. NCBI's taxonomy places the organism in Eukaryota, Metazoa, Chordata, Actinopteri, Salmoniformes, Salmonidae.
GACCAACCAACUCUAUAAUAAUUACAUUCCUUUGUUGCACAAGUUGUUGAAAUAAAACCAAUGACAUAAUAUACCUAAUCGUUAGCAAAUACAGUAAUAACUGAAUGUACAGUUAAAACAAUGGCAAUUUACUAAUGUGUACAGCCAGCGCCGCACGAUACCGCAGAAGUGCACUCUUGACUAGGUUGAUCACAACGCGCGACAGGCAAGAACCAGCUAGCUUGUCAGUGCAAGGCCUGGAAAAUGGCUGCAGGAUCUGGCUCGUCAAGCGGUCACGGUCCGCCUGCGGCCCUUGAGUCAACUUUGGACCGACGGUUUCAAGGAGUGUCGAACACAAUGGAAUCAAUUCAAGGACUAUCAAAUUGGUGUAUCGAGAACAAGAAAUACCACAGUCUUAUCGUGCGUUACUGGAUGAAAUGGUUGAGGAAAUCUGAGGCUUCUCACCGUCUCAAUUUGUUCUACCUCGCCAACGAUGUCAUUCAGAACUGUAAGAGGAAAAAUGCCAUUGUCUACCGUACUGCCUUCGCCGACGUGCUCCCUGAGGCCUUCCAGCUGGUCAAUAAUGUGGGAGACUCUAAGGUGAUGAAGUCAGUGGACAGGAUAUUAUCCAUCUGGGAGGAGAGGAGUGUGUACAAAGAGGAGCUCAUAGCUGAGCUGAGGGCCAGUCUGGUCAAAGAGGAGUCACCUGCUGCUUUAGAAACACCUAAAACUCCAGUCAACCCUAAAGCUGCUCUUCAAUCUAAGAUUGUAGCUGAAUUUGUUCCCCAGGCAUUCAUCGAUCAUCUCUCUAAGUACCACAGCUCUGUGGAGGAAGUGGCGCUAAAGGAGAAACAGCUGGCAGCCAUGAGGGUGGACGUCUGCAGCACCAAGGACCUCAAGAGACUGAAAGAUAAGGCAGGGGGAAAGAGGCACUCCAAAGAUUUUGAGGAUGGCAGUGCGAAGCUAAAGGAGUUUGUGGCCUUCCUUGACCGGCAGAUCAAAGGAGGGUCCCCUCUGUUGAAUGCUCUUGGCAACGCAGACAUUUUCUACGAGAUGCAGUAUAAGGAGGUCAAGAUAGUCGCCAAUGCCUACAAGACGUUUGCCAACCGGGUGUCCCACCUCAAGCGUAAGCUGGACAGCCUCAAGGCCACCUUACCAGACCUGGAUGAGUCGCCCCUCCCCUCGCCCUCGAUGGACGCCCCGUCUCCCAAUGGCUCAGAGUCCCCCUUCCGUGGCCUGGCCGACCCAGAAUCUGACUUGGAUGGCCUGGCCAUGGAUGAUGAGGUGGAAAUCACUCUGGGGGAAGCACCCAGCCCCCUGUCCUCCCCCGGUGGCUCCCCAAAGCAGGGCUUCACUGUCGGGGAGUCAGACAACCGCGAUGUGGAGGACAUGGAGCUCUCGGAUGAGGAGGAGGCAGAGAGCGUCGGUAUCAUAGUUGAGGAGCGAGUUGAAAGUCCCGUCCCAUCUCCAGACCCCAUUCCUGUGCCUGUUGUCACACCGCUGGCCACAGAGGCAAAGCCUGUCCCACAGGCCACACCUUUCCCAGCUCUCAUGAUCCCAGUGACCCCUAUAACCAACCUAUCAGGCAACCUCGCCAAUGUAGACCUGGGUAAAAUUAGCUCUAUCCUCAGCAGCAUCACCUCUGUCAUGAAGAAACCAGGAGUGAGUCCAGGUGCUUCUUUGGUCUGCCCCUCCUCUCCAGCCAAGACCACCCCUCCUGCCCCAGUAGCCCCCCAGGUAGCCAGCCCUCUGGCCAGCGUCCUAUCCAAAGUGGACAUGACUCCCGAGGCGCUCCUCAGUGCACUGUCCAAAACCCAGGAGCAGGCCAGCGGGCGACAUGGCUUCUCCACUCUUCUGAACAGCCCAAUGGGAAACCUCUCCUCAUACUCCCCCAGUACAGGCAAGCUCCCUCCCUCCGCCUCCACCCCUACAGUACCCUCUCGAGGCCUUCCUCUCACCUCCUCUACGCUCGAACCAACCCCAUCAGCCCCUACAGUGGGGAAUACCACCACCGUCCUUCAGGCAGCAUCCCUUACCCAGCCCACACAGCCUCUAGACAUCGGCCCUCACAGAGGGCUGGUCCUUGAGCAAGAGAAGGAAGAAAAGCCCUCUUCUUCCAGCCUGGAGUCCAAGAUCCACAGCUUCCUGCAGGGUAACCCUGGCUUUAAUGCCUUUAACCUGGGCUUGACUAGCGAGACCAUGCAAGCGGGAGGCAGCGACAUCAGCCCCUUAGUGGGUACAGAGACCCAAGAGGGCACCCCGGUGCGAGACGAGGCCGGAGGAGGCACCCCCACCCUGGAUGAGUUCUUGGACACACCAGGAGGAGCAGAGCCCUUCCUGGCCAAGCAAGGUCAGGUCUCUUCUGGGGGAGUUCCUAAACAACCAGAUGGCAGCCUGUCUCAGUCUCCAACUGCCUACCACAACCAAACCUGGCAGGAUCCCAACAACCCUCAUGUCCACUUAGGACCACAACCAGGUGCUCCGAAUGGACAGGGGUACCACCAGUUGCCUUAUGGAGGGAAUGAAGAGAUGCAUGGAAUAGGUCCUUCCCUCAGAGAGUCUGGGUUGGCCCAUUACCAGCCCAUCACGACACAGGUGUCAGCCCCAACCCUCGGGGAGGGGUUACCCAGUAACACACCAGGAGGGCCUCCGGCAGGGCCAAACCCCAGUGUGAGUGAAGGAGGAUGGUAUGGUAAUCCCUACCCAGAGGGACGGGCCCUGCAUCCUAACAACCACAACAUGGCUGCAUCAGGGGCAGGAGAUGGCAAAACCCCCAUGUCAGGACGGUAUGCAUACCAGGGGCAGACGCAGACGCAGCCCUACCAAACAAAGGAUCCUCAAACUCUGCUUUCCCAACAGGGGGCCAACCCCUCAAGCUUCCUCACCAGCCCUCUGCCCCCCAUUCCCCAGCUGCCUCCACCGCCCUUCCCUGGAAUACCAGCCCCACCACAGGACUACCAGAGCUCGCCCGCGUCUGUCAUUGUGCGAGGGGUGAUGGUGCCUGUGGAGCAACCCUCACCAAACCCUGAGAUGGAGGAUGACAGGGCGGGCAUCAGUGUAUUGGGCGAUCCAGUGAUUAUCAGUGAUCACCAGCACAAAUCUGCUUUCCACCCUGAGGGCCAACCCUAUCACCCAGAUGACCUUCAUCGCCAUGCCGAUGACCCCUGUCAUCACCCUGACAAUUUCCCUUGUCACACUGACGACCUCCGCCGCCACCCCAACGAUCUACGCCGCCAGCCUGACGACCUGCAUCACCUUGACAACUUCCGUCAGCACCCCCACAACCUCCAUCGUCACCCAGACAAUCACUAUUAUCACCCAGACGAUUUCCACCAUCUACCUGUAGACGAUCCUCAUUAUCCUUAUAAAGUCAGAGAGCGCCUCACUCCCCCCCUCUCUCCCUCAGAAGACCCUUACUACUAUAACUACCCUCCACGCAGCCCUUCUCCUCCAUAUGGUCACAGACCCCCCCUUCACCCUCACAUGGACCUGCACCACCCUGACCACAUGCCCCUGCCUCCCCAUCCUCCACACCGUCCUCUCCACCCAGUUCACCAGCCACACCUGAGAGGCCUCCCGUGGGGUCCCCCACGCCCAACCCUCUGUGGGCCCAUGCUCAGGGGGAAACGGCCAGGGCCUCCUUUCGGGGGACACCCCAGAGGGGGACCAGGUGGUCCAUUCUUUCCUCCCAAAAGACCACACCUACCUCCGCGCUUCUGACUUGUCAACUGACUGGGGUGACAUCAAAUUACAGUGCUUAGGCUACCGGAAUGUCAUUGUGGCAGGGGGCGCGACACAUCGAGGGUAGAAGAGGAGGAGAGAUGAGUUGGGAAGAAGCAGAAGAAUUGAGGUGUACUUUUCUCUGCUCCCCUUCUUGGUUUAAGAGGCCUGAGAGGAAGAGGGGAAUAGAUGAGUACAAUUGGAGGAGGAGUAAAUUGGGAGGAUCUAAAGGAAUCGAGGAGAGGAUGAGUGAAGACGUGGAUCUGGAGAAAGAGGGAAUGGAGAGGUCGGCCUGAACAACGGAGACACAGCGGAAUAGAAGAAAAUAAGAGUAAGCUGGAUGACUCUGUGAUAUGGUGACCUGUGCGAGGAGUGGGAAACCGCUGGCGAGAGUGACAUACAAUACAACAAGGACUGGUGUCAUCUCAAUGUCCACUAAACCACAGUAAUAACACAUUUAACACCGCCAAAGAAGUACUAAAUACAGGGCAGUUUCUCUGACACAGUUGUAGCCCUGUGAUGGUAUAAAAUUCAAGAUCGAGCAAGAAUUUCUAUUGAAAAUGCUUUUGAGUCCAGGACUAGGCAUAAUCCGUGUCUGGGACAACUCCCCUACAUGACAGGCCUUGUGUUGGCCAUAAUUUAGUUCAGCAAAAUAAUUAUAUUGAUCAAUUCCACAGGUUUGUGAUACAAUUUUAGUCAAGGUACAUUGUUACUCAAGCACCCUCUAGUGGUGCAAUGUGACUUAUUCGAGAAGGGCCACAGUGUUAUUAUCAGGGUGAUGGUAUGAUUCACUAAGGUUGCGUCGCAAAUGGCUCUCUGGUCAAAGUAGUGCACUAUAUAAAUAAUCUCGUUCCCUGACACUUCCGGCAAAAUAAGAAAGCCAAUAAGAUUGACGUGAAAUUUACAGCGUGAUAGGCAUUGGCUUAAUCGGCUUAAUCUACCAACCAAUCAUCUCUUGCUACACCUUCCCCCACUUUUCUUGAGAACCUCUGUCAUAUCAGAGAGGAAGAGGUGAAGCAAGAGGUUUUACUUUGCCCAAAAUCUGUCCUUGAAAAAUAAGCCCACAAUUGAGUAAUUUUUUUGUCAAAUUUGCUACUUGAGGCUUAUUUGAUCUAAUCUAACUUUGGGGAUGCUUAGGUUGUUACGAAUGCACUGAUAUAAGUGGACACACGUGGUACUUCGUCAACUUUGGAAAAAAAUCAAUUUUACAUCAGAGUAUUGUGCCGGAGGGGAUGGCAGCCAUUUUACGGGCUCCUGACCAAUUGUGCUAUUUUGUGUUUUCUUGCUCUGUUUGUUACUUUUUUUUGUACAUAAUGUUUCCGCCAUCGUUUCUUAUGACAGAAAAGAGCUUCUGGACAUCAGAACAGAGAUUAUUCACCUCGAACUCGACGAGGAUUUAUUCUUUAUGAGUCUGACACAAAGGAUAUACUGCUCCUCCCGGACCAGGCCCAAAUCCCCGUCAUUUUGUGUGAAGAGGAGACGGCAUUACAGAGGUCAAAGAGCCGGAUGCAUCGCGAGUCCGUGUUGAUGAGUGGAUAAUCUGCCUUUAACCUUCUUUCUACUGGCGAUCUGGAGAAUAAACUGGAUGAGUUCCAUUUGAGACUAUCCUAUCAACAGGACAUAAAAAAACGUAAUAUCCUGUGUUUCACCGAGUCAAGGACAUGUAUAAUAUACAGUUGCUGGGUUUUCCAUGCAUCGGCAAGACAGAACAGCAGCCUCCGGGGGAGGGGGGGG